This 253-nucleotide ribosomal RNA is filed under the name uncultured bacterium. Its description in RNAcentral is "partial 16S ribosomal RNA". It matches the Rfam family "Bacterial small subunit ribosomal RNA", at positions 524 to 776 of the family's 1533-position model. The record is from RNAcentral.
UACGUAGGGUCCAAGCGUUAUCCGGAAUCACUGGGCGUAAAGCGUGCGUAGGUGGAUGUUUAAGUGAGAGGUUAAAUCGUGUGGCUCAACCAUAUCGAUGCCUCUCAUACUGGGCAUCUAGAGGACAGCAGAGGCAAGUGGAACUGGUAGUGUAGCAGUGAAAUGCGUAGAUAUUACCAAGAACACCAAUGGCGAAGGCAGCUUGCUGGGCUACUCCUGACACUGAGGUACGAAAGCGUGGGGAGCGAACAGG